UCCUUGGUCAUUUAGAGGAAGUAAAAGUCGUAACAAGGUUUCCGUAGGUGAACCUGCGGAAGGAUCCAUUAAAAUAAACAUUUACCACAUUGUUUUUGAUAACCAACAACAACCUAAUAUUUUUUAUUCAACUUUUUAAAAAUCAAAACUUUCAACAACGGAUCUCUUGGUUCUCGCAUCGAUGAAGAACGCAGCGAAUUGCGAUACGUAGUAUGACUUGCAGACGUGAAUCAUUGAAUCUUUGAACGCACAUUGCGCCUCGAGGUAUCCUCGAGGCAUGCCUGUUUGAGCGUCGGCUUACUUCAAACCUCUGGUUUGGUUUUGCCCAGAAAUAUUACUGCCGUGUAUCUAAGCUUACAUCGCAUUUUCUAAUUCGCCCUCAAAUCAGUAGUCA
Molecule: ribosomal RNA, 394 nt
Filed under: Sungouiella intermedia
Lineage: Eukaryota; Fungi; Ascomycota; Pichiomycetes; Serinales; Metschnikowiaceae
Description: [Candida] intermedia partial small subunit ribosomal RNA
Rfam family: 5.8S ribosomal RNA (bases 147-295)
Source: RNAcentral